AUACCAUGGAGGCAUGGAAGAAAGUGGAGUGGAUUUAUUUGCAGUAGUCUUUGUUAGAGAAAACCUCCUAAUUUUCCAGGAGGAAAUGAAGUUCACACACAUUUCCUUCACAAAAAGGCAGCAGAAAAUACCAUAAGCCUGUGAGACUGGGAAUGCACCAUGGAAACAAACAGCACCCUGGCAAAAUAAAGAGAUGUUUCCUCAAUGGAGCUCCAUUGAAAAGCUCAGCAGAGUUCCUUCUGAACCCUGCGGGAAGGGAUACUCCAAACUUCUCAAAGAGAAAUGCACACCGAAGUGGGGAAUUAAACGGUAUCACCGUGCUUUGCUGUAAAACAAAGAAGGCUUUUAGGAGAGUCUUGAGUCGAAGUGUCUCUUUUGUUCUACUCUUCAUGAAAGCAAUGCUGCUUGGAAGACAAAGAUCAGUUUUGGUGGGUGCAGAAGCCCUGGAAGUGUGGACUGACCUAUAAACAUACACGUACCUGCACACAGAGAACAAUUUCAGCUGUGUGAGGGCCUUUCUGGUGGCACCUGCUCUGUUUCCAUGGCUUCUGCAGAGGCUUCUCUGUAAGCUGCACAAAGCAGGUGCUGCAGGUUAUCUCUGGGAUUAGGAGUUAGAAGGAGCCCCUCUGAACACGGACCCAGGAGAUCAUGGUGCUGGAGUCCACAGUCAAACACCUCACUCCAGAAAAUCCUGUUCUUCUCUAAGUUGCUGUGAAUGAGGCAAAGUCUUUUCCUUGGUGGGCCGAUGUUUGACUCAUCUCCAUGGCUGUUCCCCUCCAAAGGAUACUCCUUUCUAUUAAGGUCAUCCUGCUGUAAGCAGAUGUGGUGCUCUGUGGUUGAAGUGCAGCAUCUCAUCUGCACACCCUUCUCUGGCAGAGGCUGAACCAGGGAGUGGCAGCAAGCAAUGGAAAGAGAGGCUUCAGUGAGGGAGCUCUGAAGCUGGCCAUGAGCACUCAGCAGGGAGGAGGGAGGCAAAAAAGUUGUGGAAAAACCAAGUGUGAGGACCCCAUCACCUUCUGCAACACUCUGCCCUGACAUUUCUCUGUGAAAUGUCAUUUUCAAGUGGCGUUUCCAACCACACAUCUUUCUGUUUACGUUUCUUCCCAUCUUUCUGCAAAUCCUCCCUGGAGAAUGCAUGGACAUUACCGGGGUUCUGAGAAGCCUGGUGGUUUGUUUUCCCUGCGAAGCUGUUCCCCUCCCUCCCUGAAUCAGCUGCAUUCCCUCGGGAAUGCUCCUUCCUCCCCCUUUGCUGCCGUGAUCUCUUUGGGCUGUGGCUGCUCUCAGCCGUGUGCUGCAGCAGCCGUGGCUCUUCUCUGCUGCAGCAAGUGCUGCCUCCUGACACUGCCUCCCCUGGGGGAUCAUUAGCAGGGUGGAGGCUCUUUACUUUCCUAGAAACAGGAAGAGAAGAAGAGCCUGAGAGAUGGGAGGCCUAAACAAUCUAGAAUUAGAUUACAGUAUGAACUCCAUGACAUCAGCUCCCUUCAGUCUUCCCACCCAUUGCCUUUCUCACGGCAUUUCUGCUUAGGCUGAUCAGCAU
Long non-coding RNA from Passer domesticus (house sparrow), 1537 nucleotides. RefSeq lists it as uncharacterized. The transcript has 5 exons. The record is from RefSeq and is a predicted model, not a curated record. Lineage: Eukaryota; Metazoa; Chordata; Aves; Passeriformes; Passeridae.